This 253-nucleotide ribosomal RNA is filed under the name uncultured bacterium. RNAcentral's name for it is "partial 16S ribosomal RNA". It matches the Rfam family "Bacterial small subunit ribosomal RNA", at positions 524 to 776 of the family's 1533-position model. The record is from RNAcentral.
UACAGAGGUCCCAAGCGUUGUUCGGAUUCACUGGGCGUAAAGGGUGCGUAGGUGGUGAGGAAAGUCGGAUGUGAAAGCUCGGGGCUUAACCCCGAAAUGGCAUUGGAAACUACCUUGCUCGAGGGAUGGAGGGGGGACUGGAAUUCUUGGUGUAGCAGUGAAAUGCGUAGAUAUCAAGAGGAACACCAGUGGCGAAGGCGAGUCCCUGGACAUCUCCUGACACUGAGGCACGAAAGCUAGGGGAGCAAACAGG